ACACGGCCCGUACCCCAAACCGACACAGGUGAUCAGGUAGAGAAUACCAAGGCGAUCGAGAGAACUGUGGUUAAGGAACUCGGCAAAAUGCCCCCGUAACUUCGGGAGAAGGGGGACCAUGCCCGGUGAACAUCUUCACGGUGGGAGCUGGGUGUGGUCGCAGAGACCAGAGAGAAGCGACUGUUUACUAAAAACACAGGUCCGUGCGAAGACGUAAGUCGAUGUAUACGGACUGACGCCUGCCCGGUGCUGGAAGGUUAAGAGGACCGGUUAGCCGUAGGGCGAAGCUGAGAAUUUAAGCCCCAGUAAACGGUGGUGGUAACUAUAACCAUCCUAAGGUAGCGAAAUUCCUUGUCGGGUAAGUUCCGACCUGCACGAAUGGCGUAACGACUUCUCUGCUGUCUCGACCACAGACUCGGCGAAAUUGCACUACGAGUAAAGAUGCUCGUUACGCGCGGCAGGACGAAAAGACCCCGGGACCUUUACUAUAGCUUGGUAUUGGCGUUCGAUUCGGUUUGUGUAGGAUAGGUGGGAGACUGUGAAGCAUGCACGCCAGUGUGUGUGGAGUCGUUGUUGAAAUACCACUCUGAUCGUAUUGGACGUCUAACCUCGGCCCAUGAUCUGGGUUAGGGACAGUGCCUGGUGGGUAGUUUAACUGGGGCGGUUGCCUCCUAAAGAGUAACGGAGGCGCCCAAAGGUUCCCUCAGCCUGGAUGGCAAUCAGGUGUUGAGUGCAAGUGCACAAGGGAGCUUGACUGUGAGACUGACACGUCGAGCAGGGACGAAAGUCGGGACUAGUGAUCCGGCACCGGCAAGUGGAAGCGGUGUCGCUCAACGGAUAAAAGGUACCCCGGGGAUAACAGGCUGAUCUUCCCCAAGAGUCCAUAUCGACGGGAUGGUUUGGCACCUCGAUGUCGGCUCGUCGCAUCCUGGGGCUGGAGUAGGUCCCAAGGGUUGGGCUGUUCGCCCAUUAAAGCGGCACGCGAGCUGGGUUUAGAACGUCGUGAGACAGUUCGGUCUCUAUCCGCCGCGCGCGUAAGAAACUUGAGGAAGGCUGUCCCUAGUACGAGAGGACCGGGACGGACGAACCUCUGGUGUGCCAGUUGUUCCACCAGGAGCAUGGCUGGUUAGCUACGUUCGGAAGGGAUAACCGCUGAAAGCAUCUAAGCGGGAAGCCUGUUCCAAGAUGAGGUUUCUCACCACCUUGCGUGGUUAAGGCCCCCUACAGACCAUGGGGUUGAUAGGCCGGAACUGGAAGCGCAGCAAUGCGUGGAGGUGACCGGUACUAAUAGGCCGAGGGCUGAA
This 1304-nucleotide ribosomal RNA is filed under the name metagenome. RNAcentral's name for it is "bacterial LSU rRNA". It matches the Rfam family "Bacterial large subunit ribosomal RNA", at positions 1635 to 2925 of the family's 2925-position model. The record is from RNAcentral.